Molecule: ribosomal RNA, 216 nt
Filed under: uncultured bacterium
Lineage: Bacteria
Description: partial 16S ribosomal RNA
Rfam family: Bacterial small subunit ribosomal RNA
Source: RNAcentral
AUCCCAGUUCGGACCGCAGGCUGCAACCCGCCUGCGUGAAGUCGGAAUCGCUAGUAAUCGCGGAUCAGCAUGCCGCGGUGAAUACGUUCCCGGGCCUUGUACACACCGCCCGUCACACCAUGAGAGUCGGGAACACCCGAAGUCCGUAGCCUAACCGCAAGGAGGGCGCGGCCGAAGGUGGGUUCGAUAAUUGGGGUGAAGUCGUAACAAGGUACC